Molecule: unclassified non-coding RNA, 631 nt
Filed under: Hevea brasiliensis (rubber tree)
Lineage: Eukaryota; Viridiplantae; Streptophyta; Magnoliopsida; Malpighiales; Euphorbiaceae
Source: RNAcentral
CAAUUAAUACCAGUAACACCUUCAAUGCCUAAGAGUUCGGUUCUCAAUUCAUCCGAUAAAUCAAAACCCAAAACUGCAGUUAGAGCUGGUGAGAUGAACAUGACCGCCAAGAGUCUGCAACAACAGCCCUCUUCAUUGCACCCUGCCAAUCAAGCUGUUCUUGGGGGACAUGUCAAAGCUGAUGCACUAAAGACAUCUCAUGGGAAGCUCUUUGUUCUCAAGCCGGGAUGGGAAAAUGGUGCAUCCCCCUCUCCAAAGGAUGUUGCUAGUCCUAAAAAUAAUGUCAGCAGAGGAUCAAAUAGCCAACUUGCUGUUCCUUCAGUUCCAUCUGCACCUUUGAGGAGCCCAAACAAUAUGAAGCUUUCUUCUGGGGAACGCAAGUCUGCUAACUUGAAUUUGAUUUCAGGGUUCAAUGUGGAAAAGAGACCUUCUAUGUCUCAAACCCAGAGCCGAAAUGAUUUUUUUAACCUCCUGAAAAAGAAAACCUCAACGAACACUUCUGCAGCUCUCCCUGAUUCACCCUCUGCUCUUUCAUCUCCCACCAGUGAGAAAUCCCGUAACGUGAGCAAGGAAGUAGUCAGUGCUCCUGCAAGUCUUCAGGGUAUUAAGAAUGGUGCUGAGUUGACUAGCA